CUCCACUCCGUUUCGGCGGAAUGUGGCUGGCUAGGGUGGCCUGAACCACUGUCUGGGUUGUUUGUCGUUCAGUCGGAUUGAGGAUCUGCCUCCCUUGAGGUGCACAUGUCAUAGUGAUGGCAGAAGCGAGUGUGAGUGAAGCUGAUGUCAUCCCGACGUCGUAACACCGUUGGGCGGGGCGGGGCUCUCAUGUCAAGUCUCCCCGCGGUGCACAUGUCACAGAGGUGCAAAUAGCAUGGCCUUCUUUCCUAUCUUUUCCCCCUCCUCCUCCUCCACCCCCUCCCCCACACACACCUCCUGCUGUUAUAUCGUCACCCUCAUAAAGUAAUUGCCUAAGUCAUUUUUCAGUGAUUUCCAUUUUUGUUAAGUUGUCUUAGAUAUUCAGGGUUUGAGUGUUCUAGAAUUGCCUUUUUAUUUCUGCCUAAAUCUUAAGCCAAAUGAGAUGAUGACGUUCUCUUCUUGAAAAAUAGAAAAUAACGACUUGGGCGGUUUCUUUACGAAGGUGGCGAGAUUGUAAUAGGUUUUGCACCCUCUAUUUAGGGAUGUGCACUAAUUUUCGUCUCUUCUCUUCCCCUCCUCCUCCCCUGGCUGGCCGGGGAACGGAGGAGGAGCACUAGGACGAGGAGGUGAAGGGAGGCGCAGGGAGAGACGACUCAAGCACGAGGAGGCAAGAGACAAGAAGCAGAGACGCAGGAACGGAAAGGCAGCCAGAUGGUCGAUGCUGUGAAGAGGAGGAAGAUGACUGCAGGAGGCGGUGUGUGUGUGUCGGGGAAGGAGAUGACAGCCCACCCUCACACACAGCUGGUUAAGGCCUGCAAGAGAGCCUAGUCAAUGAAGAGGAAAAGAAGACAAGAAUAAAGAAGACAAGAAGAAAGAAGAGAGGCAAAACAGGAGGAGGGGAUUUUUUUUCUGUCUAUACCUGAAGUGUGAUGAAUUUACUAAGGGUAUAUUUAAGCCUGAUAUAACGUACUUUAAGGUAUAUUUAAUGGUACAAGUGUGUAGCCUACUUUUGCCUGGAGUUGGAGACGGUAAAAUGCUCUCCGACUCCUUUAUUGUGGUGCUGUGUGGUUUGUUUACUGUGGUGCGAUGUGGGUCAUUUACUGUGGUGCGGUGUGGUUCGUUAAUUAAGGUCAGGUAUGGUUCGUUUAUUGUAGUGCGGUAUGGUUCGUUUACUGUGGUGCGGUGUGGCUCGUUAAUUAAGGUGAGGUGUGGUUCGUUUAUUGUGGUGCGGUGUGGUUCGUUAAUUAAGGUCAGGUAUGGUUCGUUUAUUGUAGUGCGGUAUGGUUCGUUUACUGUGGUGCGGUGUGGCUCGUUAAUUAAGGUGAGGUGUGGUUCAUUUAUUGUGGUGCGAUGUGGCGUUGCGGGCUUUAAUUUCCCUACCACUGCACGGUGGAGUCAAAUUUUUUUAUAUCCGACUCCACACCUGUGUUAGAGUGUAAGAGUAUUGAUGGAAUAUAUUUAAGGUGCUGGGGGAUACUGUGGUGCACUUGUCGCGGCAACCCAUUCUGCUUCUGCAUAACCCGUACUGCUGCAUGACGCAUAGCAACUCGUGUUUUUUUCUGCUGCCGCAACGACUCGUACUGCUAACGCAUAAUGACCUGUGCUGCUUCUGCUAUUGUAACAACUCUUACUGCAAUAACUUACUGCUGCUUCCAUUUAAAAACGUAUAAACGCAUAAACCCGCUGUGUUGCCAACUUGUCAACAACCCAACUAAUGAAUUUUCUGAUCAAAGAUCAAAGAGAGGAUUAGGCCUUCAGGGGACACCUCUUAAAUAAAAACGCGCCUGGGACUUUUACCUCAGAGGUGGUGUGGAAAAAAAGUCCAGUCACGAAAAUAAGUAUCUUAUACUCCAUGAAAGUGUCUCAGUCUUAUGAGAACACAAAGGUUGAGAGGGCUCAAACAUUCUGUUGUUUCCCGCAUAUGCUCCCAUGUUAGCAGUAAGGGCACUAAAUUCUGAUCUCUGUACAAAACAACCAAAUAUACAUAAUAACGAACAGAAAGUUAAAUAAAAUGUUUGCCUGCAUUACCCGUCAGCAGCGUAGACGUAACAAGGGUUGAAAAAAUGACUUAUUUAUUACAGCCGCUGGCCAACGCCUUGACCCCAGAGGCUUUGUGUUUGUCUCCGCGUCCUCCGCACUACACUGCACAGAAUCUGGCGAGCCUGGGUUGUGACAGCUAUUUCCCAAAGCCUCCAAGGAUACCAGUCAGGCUUAUGAGUGUUUUUCGUGUUGUUGGGGAAGCUCGCAAAUCUACACCUGGAAAUACUACUACCAACACAACCCAUAUGAAAGCCUUUCCUAAAACAUAAAACCUCUACCAGUGCCUUACCAGACGGAACCAAAGCUUACCAAAUACCCAAAAAUCUCUACUAUUUGUGGUUGACUCAAGGUAUUGAAUUUUCACUUAUUUUUUUACAAUGAUGUUAGUGUCCCUUAUAUGUCUUGUUGGGUCUGUUAUUUGUUCUAUAUAUAAGGUAUUGAAUUUGCACUUAUUUUUUAUAAUGACGUUAGUGUCCCUCAUAUGUCGUGUCAUUGAGGGAGUGUUUGGGUCUAUUAUUUGUUCUAUAUAUAAGGUAUUGAAUUUCCACUGAUUUUGUAUACUUAUGUUACUGUCCCUCAUAUGUUGUGUCAUUGAGGGAGUGUUUGGGUCUAUCAUUUUUGUUUUGAUGCCCCUUUCAUGGAUCUAAAUAAUGACAUCCACCUUAAAAUAAAUGUAUGUGUCUGUGGUCAUCCCAAAGCUGAAGGUUGGUAUCUACUCCACUGUUUUUCAUGUUUUCUCGGACAGUUCAUAUUAUUAGCAAAUGUUUUUACCUGUCCGCUGUGAUUGGCACGGAUUUCGCCUUCACUGGUAACCUGGUAACAUGUACUCCCAAAUCAUUCUUUGUCUCUGUGGUGGAUAGUGGAGUGUUUCCCAUGUGGUAUUGGUGUGCUGGAUAUCCCUUCACUGGUAGCCUGAUAACAUAUGUACUCCCAGAUCAUUCUUUGUCUCUGUGGUGGAUAGUGGAGUGCUUCCCACGUGGUACUGGUGUGGUGGAUAUCCCCUCCCAAGGUGCAGGACUAUAUAUUUUUCUAAACUGAAUUGUAGCAGCCACUUUUUGCUCCACUCCUGUAGCUUGGUGAUGUCUUCUUGUAGGAAAUCCACAGUGAAGGGUUUAAGCAAGUGAGAUUUUACCCUCCCAUGACCAGUGUACAGAAGGGACCCUGUAGUUGUUUGAAGGAAUAUUACCGGAUUGAUUAACUAGAUGGUACAUAUUAGAUUAGGGCAAAAUGUGAGAAUGGGGGCAGGAGACUGGCUUCAACUAGAGGGUAUAAUAUAGAUUGACCUUGUAGUUGUUUGAAGGAAUAUUACUGGACUUGGGAGAGAGUGUGGAGGGAGGAGGAGAAAUAUUGAUAAUAGACGAUAGUGAUCCUUUAUAUGGUGAUGAAGGGAAUGGUGAUAGGUACUGGUGAUGAUAAUGGUGAUGUUAUAGUGAUGGAGGGAGGGAUGUGGCAGGUGGUUGGAUGAGAG
Eriocheir sinensis (Chinese mitten crab) is the source of this 3508-nucleotide long non-coding RNA. RefSeq lists it as uncharacterized. The transcript is spliced from 3 exons. The record is from RefSeq and is a predicted model, not a curated record. Lineage: Eukaryota; Metazoa; Arthropoda; Malacostraca; Decapoda; Varunidae.